CGGUUCGUUAAACCUCUUUUGGCAGGGAAGAAAAUGUUGCAGUUAAUAGCUGGCAAAACUGACGGUACCUGCAGAAUAAGCCACCGGCUAACUCCGUGC
This 99-nucleotide ribosomal RNA is filed under the name uncultured bacterium. Its description in RNAcentral is "partial 16S ribosomal RNA". The record is from RNAcentral.